GGAGUUGUACUGAUUGACCUCUACAUUUGCCACUUAAAACCAGAGCUACUCAUGGCUGGCCCUAGGUGGACAAUAGAAACAUAUUCCAAGUAUAUAAUAGUGAUUUGAAGGUUCCUUUUAUUAGUUUUAAUAAUAAGAACUUUGUCAGUAUUUGCAUCACCACGUAGCAUUCUGCAUUUUUGUUGAAUGUAUCAUUCUCCACUCUAGUUUAUACAUUCAUUGACGAUAAGUUAAGUUGAGCUUCUAUCUUU
RNAcentral lists this unclassified non-coding RNA (251 nucleotides) under Hevea brasiliensis (rubber tree). Lineage: Eukaryota; Viridiplantae; Streptophyta; Magnoliopsida; Malpighiales; Euphorbiaceae. The record is from RNAcentral.